GAUGAAGAACGCAGCGAAAUGCGAUAAGUAAUGUGAAUUGCAGAAUUCAGUGAAUCAUCGAAUCUUUAAACGCACAUUGCGCCCCCUGGUAUUCCGGGGGGCAUGCCUGUCCGAGCGUCAUUACAACCCUCAAGCUCAGCUUGGUGUUGGGCCCCGCCGCCCCGGCGGGCCCUAAAGUCAGUGGCGGUGCCGUCCGGCUCCGAGCGUAGUAAUUCUUCUCGCUCUGGAGGUCCGGUCGUGUGCUCGCCAGCAACCCCCAAUUUUUUUCAGGUUGACCUCGGAUCAGGUAGGGAUACCCGCUGAACUUAAGCAUAUCAAUAAGCGGAGGA
Molecule: unclassified non-coding RNA, 329 nt
Filed under: soil metagenome
Description: partial contains 5.8S ribosomal RNA, internal transcribed spacer 2, and large subunit ribosomal RNA
Rfam family: 5.8S ribosomal RNA (bases 1-120)
Source: RNAcentral